CACCUGAGAGCUAUGAUGAUGUCAUGACGAGCGGACGGAACUCUGAUAUCAAGAAAGUGAACACACCAGAGAAUUAUGAUGAUGUCAUCAUUAAUAGACCGAGCUCUGAAGGGGUAACAGAGAGAGUUCAGGAGGAGUAUGAUGAUGUGAUGAGUGUCAGUGAAGAUGUGAGAAACCUAUUGGAUUAUGAUGAUGUGGAGGAGGAGUCAAACAAAGAAGGGGGGCAUUUGGCUCAAUGAUCCCACCCCCUGCCUCUGUUCAACAAAUCUGCACAAAGUUUGAGUGAUAUUGUUAUUGAUAUGUCAAAUCUCAGGUUUUU
Sinocyclocheilus rhinocerous is the source of this 319-nucleotide long non-coding RNA. RefSeq lists it as uncharacterized. Lineage: Eukaryota; Metazoa; Chordata; Actinopteri; Cypriniformes; Cyprinidae. The transcript is spliced from 4 exons. The record is from RefSeq and is a predicted model, not a curated record.